UGCAGAGUAGCGCAGGCUGGUAGCGCGUGAGGCUCAUAAUCUCAAGGUCGCGGGUUCAAAUCCCGCCUCUGCACCCA
RNAcentral lists this transfer RNA (77 nucleotides) under Chloroflexota bacterium. RNAcentral's name for it is "Chloroflexi bacterium tRNA-Met". It matches the Rfam family "tRNA". From Rfam's summary of the family: Transfer RNA (tRNA) molecules are approximately 80 nucleotides in length. Their secondary structure includes four short double-helical elements and three loops (D, anti-codon, and T loops). Further hydrogen bonds mediate the characteristic L-shaped molecular structure. tRNAs have two regions of fundamental functional importance: the anti-codon, which is responsible for specific mRNA codon recognition, and the 3' end, to which the tRNAs corresponding amino acid is attached (by aminoacyl-tRNA synthetases). tRNAs cope with the degeneracy of the genetic code in two manners: having more than one tRNA (with a specific anti-codon) for a particular amino acid; and 'wobble' base-pairing, i.e. permitting non-standard base-pairing at the 3rd anti-codon position. Lineage: Bacteria; Bacillati; Chloroflexota. The record is from RNAcentral.